CUUAGUGGCAGACGGGUGAGUAACAUGUGGGUAUCUACCCUUUGGCCUGGAACAACACGGGGAAACUUGUGCUAAUACCGGAUAAGCCCUCACGGGGAAAGUUUUAAUGCCAAAAGAUGAGCCCGCACUUGAUUAGCUAGUUGGUAAGGUAAUGGCUUACCAAGGCAACGAUCAAUAGCUGUUCUUAGAGGAAGACCAGCCACACUGGGACUGAGAUACGGCCCAGACUCC
This 231-nucleotide ribosomal RNA is filed under the name uncultured bacterium. RNAcentral describes it as "partial 16S ribosomal RNA". It matches the Rfam family "Bacterial small subunit ribosomal RNA", at positions 91 to 339 of the family's 1533-position model. The record is from RNAcentral.